UGGAUGAAGGAAACAAGGCAUUAGGAUUGAAUGUAAAUAAGGUGUGUAGAUGUGACUGGAGCUUACAGUGCUCUAAAGACGGAGCUUAACAUAAGCUUGACAGCAAUAGGCCUUUUGUGGACUACAACUGGCUUUAUUGCAAAGAGGAUUACACAUGGACCUGUGGAAGAAAGGGAAACAAGAAAGGGAAACAGGUAUAUGACAAGUGCACAACAAAUGGACUCACAACAAAGACAAGUGCACAAAGGAUGAUGAAUUGAAGGAUGGAGCAAGUUUCAUGCAUGGUUUACUUUUGUGUAUCUUGUAAUUUUUUGUUUUUCAUUUUUGAAGUAAAAAAUGUUCAAGAUUAUAAUACUUUAUUAUGUUAUGCUUUCAAACUUAAGUUAGAACUAAGAUCUCAUGAAAUAGACACAUUCAGAGUUUGAAUUAGUUAUUGUUUAAUGUAAUACUUAUGGUUUAUCAAUCUAUUGAGAAUUAUAUUUUAUGAUUAA
Long non-coding RNA from Humulus lupulus (European hop), 491 nucleotides. RefSeq lists it as uncharacterized. The transcript has 2 exons. NCBI's taxonomy places the organism in Eukaryota, Viridiplantae, Streptophyta, Magnoliopsida, Rosales, Cannabaceae. The record is from RefSeq and is a predicted model, not a curated record.